RNAcentral lists this transfer RNA (90 nucleotides) under Saitoella complicata NRRL Y-17804. It matches the Rfam family "tRNA". Rfam says of the family: Transfer RNA (tRNA) molecules are approximately 80 nucleotides in length. The record is from Rfam by way of RNAcentral. Lineage: Eukaryota; Fungi; Ascomycota; Saitoellomycetes; Saitoellales; Saitoellaceae.
GUCUCUGUAGCUCAGCUGGGAGAGCGUCAGACUGAAGUGAUUCAGUCAUCAUAUAUCUGAAGGUCUCGUGUUCAAGCCACGACAGGGACA